This 71-nucleotide transfer RNA is filed under the name Marmota monax (woodchuck). RNAcentral's name for it is "tRNA.Ala". The record is from RNAcentral. Lineage: Eukaryota; Metazoa; Chordata; Mammalia; Rodentia; Sciuridae.
GGGGUUGUAGCUCAGUGGUAGAGAGCUCACCUAGCAUGUGCGAGGCCCUGGGUUCAAUCUUCAGCACCACA